UCUGGCGGCGUGCUUAACACAUGCAAGUCGAGCGAAGCAAUUUAAGUGAAGUUUUCGGAUGGAUCUUAGAUUGACUGAGCGGCGGACGGGUGAGUAACGCGUGGAUAACCUGCCUCACACAGGGGGAUAACAGUUAGAAAUGACUGCUAAUACCGCAUAAGCGCACAGUACCGCAUGGUAUAGUGUGAAAAACUCCGGUGGUGUGAGAUGGAUCCGCGUCUGAUUAGGUAGUUGGUGAGGUAACGGCCCACCAAAGCCGACGAUCAGUUAGCCGACCUGAGAGGGUGACCGGCCACAUUUGGGACUGAGACACGGCCCAAACUCCUACGGGAGGCAGCAGUGGGGGAUAUUGCACAAUGGGCGAAAGCCUGAUGCAGCAACGCCGCGUGAGUGAAGAAGUAUCUCGGUAUGUAAAGCUCUUAUCAGCAGGGAAGAAAAUGACGGUACCUGACUAAGAAGCCCCGGCUAACUACGUGCCAGCAGCCGCGGUAAUACGUAGGGGGCAAGCGUUAUCCGGAUUUACUGGGUGUAAAGGGAGCGCAGACGGCACUGCAAGUCUGUAGUGAAAGCCCGGGGCUCAACCCCGGGACUGCUUUGGAAACUGUAGAGCUAGAGUGCUGGAGAGGCAAGCGGAAUUCCUAGUGUAGCGGUGAAAUGCGUAGAUAUUAGGAAGAACACCAGUGGCGAAGGCGGCUUGCUGGACAGUAACUGACGUUCAGGCUCGAAAGCGUGGGGAGCAAACAGGAUUAGAUACCCUGGUAGUCCACGCUG
Molecule: ribosomal RNA, 771 nt
Filed under: uncultured bacterium
Lineage: Bacteria
Description: bacterial SSU rRNA
Rfam family: Bacterial small subunit ribosomal RNA
Source: RNAcentral